UACGUAGGGACCAAGCGUUGUCCGGAAUCAUUGGGCGUAAAGAGCGUGUAGGCGGCCUGAUAAGUAGGGGGUGAAAUCCUGCGGCUUAACCGCAGGGCUGCCUUCUAAACUGUCGGGCUAGAGCACGGUAGAGGCAGAUGGAAUUCCCGGUGUAGCGGUGGAAUGCGUAGAGAUCGGGAAGAACAUCAGUGGCGAAGGCGGUCUGCUGGGCCGUUGCUGACGCUGAGGCGCGACAGCGUGGGGAGCAAACAGG
RNAcentral lists this ribosomal RNA (253 nucleotides) under uncultured bacterium. RNAcentral describes it as "partial 16S ribosomal RNA". It matches the Rfam family "Bacterial small subunit ribosomal RNA", at positions 524 to 776 of the family's 1533-position model. The record is from RNAcentral.